UGUUCUGACAGCUUUAACAAAUGCUUUGUAAGGUCAGAAUCCAUAGUUCUACUUUAUUUAGAAUAAUGUUAAAAAGAAAGACAUUUUUCUCGUCUUCAAUUACUUCUGCAUCUUCUGUGUCUAUGGAUGAAGAGAGCUACUCUGACCUGAUGCAAAAAUAGGUGCAAAAUAUCUCAUCUGUGAAGUAAUUCUGGGAAUUAAUAAUCAUCACAACCACUGGACAUUAGUGGUGAUCUACCCACAAGCCAAAAGAUCUUUGGUCUUGGAUCCACUGGGGGAGUCAAAGCAAGACAUCCAGAAAUGUUUGCAAAGCUCAAGGGCAUUUAUGAGGAAGAAGGGAUGCAGUGUGUCAAGGUGGACAUGUGAUACUGUCAAACAUCCCAAACAACAGGACAAUACAUCAUGUGGAGUAUUUGCAUUGAAGUUUGCAGAAAGACUCCUUGCAAAAGAGGCUGUGGAUUUCCCUGUUUCCACAGAGGCGGUUAACAGCCUCAGGUUUGACAUUGCUGUGAGACUUCUCCUUAACAGUGAUGACUUAGAAGACUUGUACCACUUCUACGGAGAGAUGGAAAAAGAGACGGACUUGAACUGGAUCCAAUGUGAGAUGUGUCUGAGGUGGUUUCAUCAGGCAUGUGUGGAAAGCCCACCAACAGAAAACACAUUUAAGUGCUUUGCAUGUUCUUUUUAGGUUUGUGUGUCUGCUGUGGUGUGCAGAUUUUGUUCCUAUGUUAUAGAGGGGGAACUGAUUAUUUCAGCUGUCUGAAAUAUUCUGUCCCGCCCUAUAACUCUGGCAUAUAAAGAGCAAAUGUUUCCAAAUUCACAGGAAUAGUUGUCCAUGAGGAGAGGAAUAAACACAAUGAAGGA
Long non-coding RNA from Girardinichthys multiradiatus, 864 nucleotides. RefSeq lists it as uncharacterized. NCBI's taxonomy places the organism in Eukaryota, Metazoa, Chordata, Actinopteri, Cyprinodontiformes, Goodeidae. The transcript has 6 exons. The record is from RefSeq and is a predicted model, not a curated record.